RNAcentral lists this ribosomal RNA (254 nucleotides) under uncultured bacterium. Its description in RNAcentral is "partial 16S ribosomal RNA". It matches the Rfam family "Bacterial small subunit ribosomal RNA", at positions 524 to 776 of the family's 1533-position model. The record is from RNAcentral.
GACGUAGGGCGCGAGCGUUGUCCGGAUUUAUUGGGCGUAAAGAGCUCGUAGGCGGCUUGUCGCGUCGACUGUGAAAACCCGCGGCUCAACCGUGUGGCGGGCAGUUGAUACGGGCAGGCUAGAGUUCGGUAGGGGAGACUGGAAUUCCUGGUGUAGCGGUGAAAUGCGCAGAUAUCAGGAGGAACACCGGUGGCGAAGGCGGGUCUCUGGGCCGAUACUGACGCUGAGACGCGAAAGCGUGGGGAGCGAACAGG